Molecule: long non-coding RNA, 764 nt
Organism: Nomascus leucogenys (northern white-cheeked gibbon)
Lineage: Eukaryota; Metazoa; Chordata; Mammalia; Primates; Hylobatidae
Exons: 6
Source: RefSeq, a predicted model, not a curated record
GUUUGUCUCACUGAAACGUUAAAGGAAGAUAAAAUGCUGUUUAAGUCCCAUCGUAGCUGAGGAACUAACCAGAGAGCUCUCAAUGCCAGCACCUCUACCUCAGAGAUCUCCAGGCCAAACGCCCAAGUACAGAAGGAAAGAAUGGCUAGAAUCCGGUUUGGCAAUUGCUGAAAACCGUGAAGAAUAAGAUAGGUGACUAGGAUCCAGGGAAAUAAUUCACUUUUCAAAAAAAGGCCAAAAGAUAAAAACAAGCAAGAAAGCAAACAAAUAAAAGUAACAACAAAAUUUAAGAACCCCUUGCAUGGAAGAGAUGCUUAUUUCCUCUGGACUGAAAGAUGGCAUCAGAAGUGGGAUCUAAAGUAAAGCUUCUAACAAUCCCCAUGAGCACUGAGUGACCAAGCAAGGUACCCGCCAGGCCUGUUCUGUCUGUUGCUCUCGCAGAGCAGCUGGGGAUCGUGGUAUGAUGAGACCAAAAGACCAGGAGACAACUGCUGAAGGUUAUUAUAACUCCAGAUCCAAAGGGAAAGGGACACGUGACACUAUCGGCGAGACACAUGGAGAAGCAGCAAGAUGACAGAAACUUCAUUGGCUUUGGCAAAGCAGAAAUUUAUUAGCUUACAAGGUUUAAAAAAGCCCUGAAUCUCAGAGAGAUUACAUAGCUUUGCCAGUGUCGUACACCUAAAUAAGAAGGAAGGAGAAGUCUUCUAGCUUCAGAACCCAAGCUUCCUUCAAUGAACUGCAAACUGCCAAUAAACUACUGAAGG